UGAGUUGUGGCUUAGUGGUAGAACAUUUGGUUUGCAUGCAGAGCGUCCCUGGUUCAAUCCCUGGCAACCAG
Non-coding RNA from Podarcis lilfordi (Lilford's wall lizard), 71 nucleotides. Lineage: Eukaryota; Metazoa; Chordata; Lepidosauria; Squamata; Lacertidae. The record is from the annotation of a GenBank genome assembly.